This 253-nucleotide ribosomal RNA is filed under the name uncultured bacterium. RNAcentral describes it as "partial 16S ribosomal RNA". It matches the Rfam family "Bacterial small subunit ribosomal RNA", at positions 524 to 776 of the family's 1533-position model. The record is from RNAcentral.
UACGAAGGGGGCUAGCGUUGUUCGGAUUUACUGGGCGUAAAGCGCACGUAGGCGGAUCGUUAAGUCGGGGGUGAAAUCCUGGAGCUCAACUCCAGAACUGCCUUCGAUACUGGCGAUCUUGAGUCCGGAAGAGGUGAGUGGAACUCCUAGUGUAGAGGUGAAAUUCGUAGAUAUUGGGAAGAACACCGGUGGCGAAGGCGGCUCACUGGCUCAUUACUGACGCUCAGGCGCGAUAGCGUGGGGAUCAAACAGG